UGGGACAUAGCCAAGUUGGUAAGGCUGUGGACUUUGGCUCCACCACGCGUAGGUUCGAAUCCUACUGCCCCAG
Molecule: transfer RNA, 73 nt
Filed under: Yamagishiella unicocca
Lineage: Eukaryota; Viridiplantae; Chlorophyta; Chlorophyceae; Chlamydomonadales; Volvocaceae
Description: tRNA-Gln
Rfam family: tRNA
About the family: Transfer RNA (tRNA) molecules are approximately 80 nucleotides in length. Their secondary structure includes four short double-helical elements and three loops (D, anti-codon, and T loops).
Source: RNAcentral